RNAcentral lists this ribosomal RNA (520 nucleotides) under Carabus sackeni mephistopheles. RNAcentral describes it as "partial 16S ribosomal RNA". The stretch from base 394 to 520 matches the Rfam family "Bacterial large subunit ribosomal RNA", at positions 2473 to 2599 of the family's 2925-position model. The record is from RNAcentral. Lineage: Eukaryota; Metazoa; Arthropoda; Insecta; Coleoptera; Carabidae.
GUCCUUUUGUAUUUAUUUAAGGUCUAGUCUGCCCACUGAAUUUAAAUUUUAAAUGGCCGCAGUAUUUUGACUGUGCAAAGGUAGCAUAAUCAUUAGUUUUUUAAUUAAAAGCUUGUAUGAAAGGCUGGACGAGGUAAAAUCUGUCUCUAUUUAAAUUAUAAUAGAAUUUAACUUUUAAGUUAAAAGGCUUAAAUAUUAUUAAAAGACGAGAAGACCCUAUAGAUCUUUAUAAUUUAUUAAUUAAAAUUAAUUUAGAAUUAUUUAUAUUUUAUUUAACUAAAUUAUUUUAUUGGGGUAAUAUAAAGAUUGAAUUAAUUCUUUUUUAUAAUAAACAUUAAUUUAUGAAUAUUAGAUGAUCCAGUUUUACUGAUUAUAAGAUUAAGUUACCUUAGGGAUAACAGCGUAAUUUUUUUAGAGAGUUCAUAUCGAUAAAAAAGUUUGCGACCUCGAUGUUGGAUUAAAGAUUAUUUUAGGUGUAGAAGCUUAAUAAUUUUGGUCUGUUCGACCAUUAAAUCUUUAC